GACAGAGGGUGCAAACGUUGUUCGGAAUUACUGGGCGUAAAGGGCACGUAGGUGGUUCGCUAAGUUACGUGUGAAAUCCCCCGGCUCAACCGGGGAAUUGCGCGUGAUACUGGCGGACUCGAGGCGGGUAGGGGUGAGCGGAACUCCAGGUGGAGCGGUGAAAUGCGUAGAUAUCUGGAGGAACACCGGUGGCGAAGGCGGCAUCCUGGACCGGUAUUGACGCUGAGGCGCGAAAGCCAGGGGAGCAAACGGG
RNAcentral lists this ribosomal RNA (253 nucleotides) under uncultured bacterium. Its description in RNAcentral is "partial 16S ribosomal RNA". It matches the Rfam family "Bacterial small subunit ribosomal RNA", at positions 524 to 776 of the family's 1533-position model. The record is from RNAcentral.